Molecule: long non-coding RNA, 387 nt
Organism: Lagopus leucura (white-tailed ptarmigan)
Lineage: Eukaryota; Metazoa; Chordata; Aves; Galliformes; Phasianidae
Exons: 3
Source: RefSeq, a predicted model, not a curated record
CAGUGGUGACGUCAUUUCUGCGCCGCUUCCGGCGCCGCCGCCAUUCCUGUCUCCGGACCGGCCCGGCCCCACCGGAACCGCCCGCGGGGUCGGGCCCGGAUCCGCCAUGGCUGAGGACUACCGGGACCGGGAGAGGCGCUGAGGCGGGUCGCGCCAUGGACCGGAUGAAGAAGAUCAAGCGGCAGCUUUCCAUGACGCUGAGGGGGGGGCGCGGCCCCGAAAAGAGUCUGGGGGAAACCCGAGACGGCCCCAAUAGCGACAGCGAAGCGGGGCCGGAUGAGGGGCGGAUGGGGUCGGAUGGGGAAAGUGACCCCCCCUCGGGGACGUCCUCGGAUGAGGUGGCCUCACCGGUCAGGGUGCGACUGAGGCAGCACCCAAGGGUGCCCA